Molecule: long non-coding RNA, 523 nt
Filed under: Parus major (Great Tit)
Lineage: Eukaryota; Metazoa; Chordata; Aves; Passeriformes; Paridae
Description: lncRNA (ENSPMJG00000015930.1)
Source: RNAcentral
AUGUGCAGCUUUCUGGGUUCAGCAGUGAUCAUUGCUGAAAACCUCACUCCAGCACGACUCUUCCAUAGGAAACCUUCUGUGCUUACAACCAGGCACCUGAAUUGCACAUUAUCUGCAAUUUUCAGUAACCUGCUCGACAUCCCAGUCAUUCAUCCUGUCCAUCCUGUCCAAGUCAGGAGCACUGCAGCAUUUUUGGAUGGGAGUGCUUGCAGCCCUCAGCUGGGUGUGACAAGUGCCUGCAAGGUCAAGAGAAGCACUGCUCAGCUAAAAUUGGGGCUGGUUUUCUCCUAUGCUGCCCAGUGCGCUUCCAGUCAGUGACAAAGUUGCUCAGUUGGAGAUUGAGGUAGGCACAGUUCUGUUCAUGACUUGAACAGGUUUUUACUUCUGCAGGAUGACAAUCUUUCUAUUGAAUGCUGGCCUGUGUGCAUGCUGGAUGCAUUUCUGUUUUAUUCAUAUGUAAAGAGGCUCUGCCAGUAUCACUAUAGAACAUCUUGAUGUUUUCUGGAAAAAUGGCAUAUUUUGC